This is a long non-coding RNA of Nothoprocta perdicaria, 315 nucleotides long. RefSeq lists it as uncharacterized. Lineage: Eukaryota; Metazoa; Chordata; Aves; Tinamiformes; Tinamidae. The transcript has 3 exons. The record is from RefSeq and is a predicted model, not a curated record.
AGAGAGCUGUCACAUCCUGAGAAAUACUCAAAUUGUGCUGAUUUUUUUCUGGAGUGCUGAGCAGAGAGAAUGAAACUCUCCAUCAAGUCAUAGCUGUGUGGGCAAUAGAUCAGAGGAUACUGCCAGUUUUCCUGAUGGAUUAUUGUUAUCGGGCAGGUUCUUCCUGAAGUUUUUCUUUAGUGAAGCCAUUGUAGCAUGUGUUUCCUUGUGCAGCCUUGAUGCAGCAAUCCAGCCUUUCUGACAACAGCUAGAUUCAUCGAGAUUACAAGAAUCUCCUGUUCCUCCUGAUAGAAACAACUCCCUUGAUGAUGUGAA